Long non-coding RNA from Fukomys damarensis (Damara mole-rat), 395 nucleotides. RefSeq lists it as uncharacterized. The transcript has 3 exons. The record is from RefSeq and is a predicted model, not a curated record. NCBI's taxonomy places the organism in Eukaryota, Metazoa, Chordata, Mammalia, Rodentia, Bathyergidae.
UAUGCAGCGCGAGAUAGAUUCUAACGAUCCUGUCAUAGAGAAGCCAGGUCCUAACACCAGAAGAUUUUAACACCACGAGCCCCUGAAGACACACCUCCAUUUUUGGUGUCUUUGGUGAGAGAUUUCAGACAGGACUCCUAGGCUGUGUCAUAGAAUCUUCCAGUACCUGAGAACACAAGACUUCUCAUAGAAGUUGUUGCUAUCGCCUGGCCUUGUUCUCCUCGAGCCCUCCGUGUCGAGCAAAUGGCUUUCUCUGUACUUCUGGGAUAGUAAACCCCUCGGGCAGAGACCACUGCACUGCUACCCUCGGGAUCCUGCCGAGUACUGCGUCAGUGCUCCAUAAACAGUGACACCAUAACUCCGUCCUCACACUCAGCGGUUCUCUCUGCAAUCUG